Molecule: long non-coding RNA, 526 nt
Organism: Sinocyclocheilus grahami
Lineage: Eukaryota; Metazoa; Chordata; Actinopteri; Cypriniformes; Cyprinidae
Exons: 2
Source: RefSeq, a predicted model, not a curated record
AACGUAAAAGUCUGUCAUGUGCUGGUUUUCCCUCAGAGUCUGUCAGUAAAGGUGACCCCUGGUAAAGUCAAACCAGAGAACCGCAUGCGAGCUGAACAAGAGGAGAAAGCAGAGGAGAAGAGACUGGCUAUUAUGAUGAUGAAGAAGAAAGAGAAAUACCUCUAUGACAAGAUCAUGUUUGGCAAGAAGAGACACGUCAGAGAGGCCAACAAGCUAGCAGCUAAGAGGAAAGCUCACGAUGACUCCAACAAAGCCGACAAGAAGAAGAAGAAGAAAAAGUGCUGAUUUGUAUAUGUAUUAAAGUGCUUCUUGUGCUGUUGAGAGAUUUUGAGAAGUGUUUCUUCUCUCGUUUCAACGUAUUGCAUCAUUUAAUGGGAAUUGUACAUGAUGCACUGGACUCCUUGUGUCAUUUAAGUUUGCCCAAACUGGUUUCAGUAACACCUUUCUGCAUUUCUUAUGUCUUUGCUCAUCAGUUUUGACUGACACAUUUCUAAUAAACAUAAGAUAAUGAUUAUCUUUAAUGAAA